This 246-nucleotide long non-coding RNA is filed under the name Mytilus galloprovincialis (Mediterranean mussel). Lineage: Eukaryota; Metazoa; Mollusca; Bivalvia; Mytilida; Mytilidae. The record is from RNAcentral.
CCUUUUAUUUUCAUUUCCCAACCCCUUGACCAUUUAUUUCUUCGAUAAGUAUGACAAGAACAUUUUCACUGCUCUGUAUGCUUGUCAAUUCGAGUAUGCCCUUUCUGUCCCUAUUUAUGAUUGUUAAAUAUCUGUAAUACUAUUCUGAAUGCCGCAUCUUGGUAUAUACAUGUAUGUUAUCAAGUACCACGAUAAAAGCUUCCCAGUGCACAAUACGUUAUGUCCCUGGAGGUUAAUCAACACCCC